UACAGAGGGUGCGAGCGUUAAUCGGAAUUACUGGGCGUAAAGCGCGCGUAGGCGGCUUUGCAGGUCGGGUGUGAAAUCCCCAGGCUUAACCUGGGAACUGCACUCGAGACUGCAUUGCUAGAGUAUGGGAGAGGGAAGUGGAAUUUCCGGUGUAGCGGUGAAAUGCGUAGAUAUCGGAAGGAACAUCAGUGGCGAAAGCGACUUCCUGGACCAAUACUGACGCUCAUGUGCGAAAGCGUGGGGAGCAAACAGG
Molecule: ribosomal RNA, 253 nt
Filed under: uncultured bacterium
Lineage: Bacteria
Description: partial 16S ribosomal RNA
Rfam family: Bacterial small subunit ribosomal RNA
Source: RNAcentral